This 26-nucleotide non-coding RNA is filed under the name Bombyx mori (domestic silkworm). Lineage: Eukaryota; Metazoa; Arthropoda; Insecta; Lepidoptera; Bombycidae. The record is from RNAcentral.
UGUAGUAUAGUUGCGGUGGUGUAUCG